Molecule: ribosomal RNA, 862 nt
Filed under: Platypleura hilpa
Lineage: Eukaryota; Metazoa; Arthropoda; Insecta; Hemiptera; Cicadidae
Description: SSU rRNA
Rfam family: Eukaryotic small subunit ribosomal RNA
Source: RNAcentral
UAAGCCAUGCAAGUCUCAGUACAUGCCGCACUAAGGUGAAACCGCAAAAGGCUCAUUAAAUCAGUUAUGGUUCCUUGGAUCUUAAACAGUUACUUGGAUAACUGUGGUAAUUCUAGAGCUAAUACAUGCAAACAAGUCCCGACCAGAGAUGGGAGGGACGCUUUUAUUAGAUCAAAACCGAUCGGCGUCCGGCUCCGGCCGGCGCCGUCUCUUUUGGUGACUCUGGAUAACUUUUAGCCGAUCGCACGGUCACAGUACCGGCGACGCAUCUUUCAAAUGUCUGACUUAUCAACUGUCGAUGGUAGGCUCUGCGCCUACCAUGGUUGUAACGGGUAACGGGGAAUCAGGGUUCGAUUCCGGAGAGGGAGCCUGAGAAACGGCUACCACAUCCAAGGAAGGCAGCAGGCGCGCAAAUUACCCACUCCCGGCACGGGGAGGUAGUGACGAAAAAUAACGAUACGGGACUCAUCCGAGGCCCCGUAAUCGGAAUGAGUACACUUUAAAUACUUUAACGAGUACCAAUUGGAGGGCAAGUCUGGUGCCAGCAGCCGCGGUAAUUCCAGCUCCAAUAGCGUAUAUUAAAGUUGUUGCGGUUAAAAAGCUCGUAGUUGGAUCUGUGUGCCACGCUGUCGGUUCACCGCCCGUCGGUGUCAACUGGCAUGUCUGUGGGACGUCCUGCCGGUGGCGGUACGGGCUGCCGGCGCUGCGUAGGGGCACAACCCCGAAGCACGCCGGCGUGUCCCGGUCCGCCGAUCCAAUCCCGCCGCGGUGCUCUUCACUGAGUGUCGAGGUGGGCCGGCACGUUUACUUUGAACAAAUUAGAGUGCUCAAAUCAGGUCGUAUUUAGGCCUGAAUGCGUUAU